Non-coding RNA from Pantherophis guttatus, 326 nucleotides. The record is from RefSeq and is a predicted model, not a curated record. NCBI's taxonomy places the organism in Eukaryota, Metazoa, Chordata, Lepidosauria, Squamata, Colubridae.
UUCUCUUAAACCACUGAAGAAAAUCGAGCCAAUUCCUUCUCAACUUAAGGUCACACAAUGACUUUCACACCAUGGUUGGGUGGGAGAUCUUAGUACACAGGGAUACCAAAAAAACCCCAACACAAAGCUUUCCCAAAUCUAAAGAAGUUUUAAUACUAGAUUCCUUUGAGACAAUUUAUAGUGGUGAUGUAACUAAGCAAUCUUCCAACGAGAAUUCAUGACUGACCUAGAGUGACUCACACGCCGAUUCCCUGUGCUGAUCUGCUUUUAAGGAAUGGGUUACAGCCAAAAUAUGUUGCCUAUAAAAUAAACCAGUACUCUGCUUG